Molecule: ribosomal RNA, 687 nt
Filed under: Serratia marcescens
Lineage: Bacteria; Pseudomonadati; Pseudomonadota; Gammaproteobacteria; Enterobacterales; Yersiniaceae
Also listed under: 3 other names
Description: partial 23S ribosomal RNA
Rfam family: Bacterial large subunit ribosomal RNA
Source: RNAcentral
AGACAGCCAGGAUGUUGGCUUAGAAGCAGCCAUCAUUUAAAGAAAGCGUAAUAGCUCACUGGUCGAGUCGGCCUGCGCGGAAGAUGUAACGGGGCUAAACCAUGCACCGAAGCUGCGGCAGCGACGCUUAGGCGUUGUUGGGUAGGGGAGCGUUCUGUAAGCCGUUGAAGGUGGCCUGUGAGGGUUGCUGGAGGUAUCAGAAGUGCGAAUGCUGACAUAAGUAACGAUAAAGCGGGUGAAAAGCCCGCUCGCCGGAAGACCAAGGGUUCCUGUCCAACGUUAAUCGGGGCAGGGUGAGUCGACCCCUAAGGCGAGGCUGAAAAGCGUAGUCGAUGGGAAACAGGUUAAUAUUCCUGUACUUGGUGUUACUGCGAAGGGGGGACGGAGAAGGCUAGGCUGGCCGGGCGACGGUUGUCCCGGUUUAAGCGUGUAGGGGGUGUGACCUGGUAAAUCCGGUUGCAUACUAACCCUGAGGCGUGAUGACGAUGCACUACGGUGCAGAAGUAGUUGAUGCCCUGCUUCCAGGAAAAUCCUCUAAGCUCCAGGUAACAUUAAAUCGUACCCCAAACCGACACAGGUGGUCAGGUAGAGAAUACCAAGGCGCUUGAGAGAACUCGGGUGAAGGAACUAGGCAAAAUGGUGCCGUAACUUCGGGAGAAGGCACGCUGGCAUGUAGGUGAAGUCCCU